CACGGUAGGGGCUAGCGUUAUCCGGAAUUACUGGGACGUAAAGGGUGCGUAGGUGGUCUUUCAAGCCAGAAGUGAAAGGCUACGGCUCAACCGUAGUAAGCUUUUGGAACUGUAAGGCUUGAGUGCAGGAGAGGGAAGCGGAAUUCCAAGUGUAGCGGUGAAAUGCGUAGAGAUAUGGAGGAACACCAGUGGCGAAGGCGGCUUCCUGGUCUGUAACUGACACUGAGGCGCGAAAGCGUGGGGAGCAAAACAGGAUUAGAUACCCGGGUAGUCCCUGA
Molecule: ribosomal RNA, 278 nt
Filed under: uncultured prokaryote
Description: partial 16S ribosomal RNA
Rfam family: Bacterial small subunit ribosomal RNA
Source: RNAcentral